GAGUUUGAUCAUGGCUCAGAUUGAACGCUGGCGGCAGGCCUAACACAUGCAAGUCGAACGGUAACAGGAAGCAGCUUGCUGCUUUGCUGACGAGUGGCGGACGGGUGAGUAAUGUCUGGGAAACUGCCCGAUGGAGGGGGAUAACUACUGGAAACGGUAGCUAAUACCGCAUAACGUCGCAAGACCAAAGAGGGGGACCUUAGGGCCUCUUGCCAUCGGAUGUGCCCAGAUGGGAUUAGCUAGUAGGUGGGGUAAUGGCUCACCUAGGCGACGAUCCCUAGCUGGUCUGAGAGGAUGACCAGCCACACUGGAACUGAGACACGGUCCAGACUCCUACGGGAGGCAGCAGUGGGGAAUAUUGCACAAUGGGCGCAAGCCUGAUGCAGCCAUGCCGCGUGUAUGAAGAAGGCCUUCGGGUUGUAAAGUACUUUCAGCGGGGAGGAAGGGAGUAAAGUUAAUACCUUUGCUCAUUGACGUUACCCGCAGAAGAAGCACCGGCUAACUCCGUGCCAGCAGCCGCGGUAAUACGGAGGGUGCAAGCGUUAAUCGGAAUUACUGGGCGUAAAGCGCACGCAGGCGGUUUGUUAAGUCAGAUGUGAAAUCCCCGGGCUCAACCUGGGAACUGCAUCUGAUACUGGCAAGCUUGAGUCUCGUAGAGGGGGUAGAAUUCCAGGUGUAGCGGUGAAAUGCGUAGAGAUCUGGAGGAAUACCGGUGGCGAAGGCGGCCCCCUGGACGAAGACUGACGCUCAGGUGCGAAAGCGUGGGGAGCAAACAGGAUUAGAUACCCUGGUAGUCCACGCCGUAAACGAUGUCGACUUGGAGGUUGUGCCCUUGAGGCGUGGCUUCCGGAGCUAACGCGUUAAGUCGACCGCCUGGGGAGUACGGCCGCAAGGUUAAAACUCAAAUGAAUUGACGGGGCCCGCACAAGCGGUGGAGCAUGUGGUUUAAUUCGAUGCAACGCGAAGAACCUUACCUGGUCUUGACAUCCACGGAAGUUUUCAGAGAUGAGAAUGUGCCUUCGGGAACCGUGAGACAGGUGCUGCAUGGCUGUCGUCAGCUCGUGUUGUGAAAUGUUGGGUUAAGUCCCGCAACGAGCGCAACCCUUAUCCUUUGUUGCCAGCGGUCCGGCCGGGAACUCAAAGGAGACUGCCAGUGAUAAACUGGAGGAAGGUGGGGAUGACGUCAAGUCAUCAUGGCCCUUACGACCAGGGCUACACACGUGCUACAAUGGCGCAUACAAAGAGAAGCGACCUCGCGAGAGCAAGCGGACCUCAUAAAGUGCGUCGUAGUCCGGAUUGGAGUCUGCAACUCGACUCCAUGAAGUCGGAAUCGCUAGUAAUCGUGGAUCAGAAUGCCACGGUGAAUACGUUCCCGGGCCUUGUACACACCGCCCGUCACACCAUGGGAGUGGGUUGCAAAAGAAGUAGGUAGCUUAACCUUCGGGAGGGCGCUUACCACUUUGUGAUUCAUGACUGGGGUGAAGUCGUAACAAGGUAACCGUAGGGGAACCUGCGGUUGGAUCACC
This 1526-nucleotide ribosomal RNA is filed under the name Escherichia coli. RNAcentral describes it as "bacterial SSU rRNA". It matches the Rfam family "Bacterial small subunit ribosomal RNA". The record is from RNAcentral. Lineage: Bacteria; Pseudomonadati; Pseudomonadota; Gammaproteobacteria; Enterobacterales; Enterobacteriaceae.